Molecule: non-coding RNA, 75 nt
Organism: Haemonchus contortus (barber pole worm)
Lineage: Eukaryota; Metazoa; Nematoda; Chromadorea; Rhabditida; Trichostrongylidae
Source: Rfam
GGCAGAAACUCGAAGUAGAGUAGUUUAGUAUGAUCAGAUGAUCCUUCUAGUCUACUCUACUUCGAAUUUGGGUCC